GUCUAUGGCCAUACCACCCUGAACGCACCUGAUCUCAUCUGAUCUUGGAAGCUAAGCAGGGUCAGGCCUAGUUAGUACUUAGAUGGGAGACUGCCUGGGAAUACUGAGUACUGUAGGCU
Molecule: ribosomal RNA, 119 nt
Organism: Callithrix jacchus (white-tufted-ear marmoset)
Lineage: Eukaryota; Metazoa; Chordata; Mammalia; Primates; Cebidae
Source: Ensembl